Molecule: ribosomal RNA, 497 nt
Filed under: uncultured bacterium
Lineage: Bacteria
Description: partial 16S ribosomal RNA
Rfam family: Bacterial small subunit ribosomal RNA
Source: RNAcentral
GAUGAACGCUGGCGGCGUGCCUAAUACAUGCAAGUCGAGCGAACAGAUAAGGAGCUUGCUCCUUUGACGUUAGCGGCGGACGGGUGAGUAACACGUGGGUAACCUACCUAUAAGACUGGGAUAACUUCGGGAAACCGGAGCUAAUACCGGAUAAUAUUUCGAACCGCAUGGUUCGAUAGUGAAAGAUGGUUUUGCUAUCACUUAUAGAUGGACCCGCGCCGUAUUAGCUAGUUGGUAAGGUAACGGCUUACCAAGGCGACGAUACGUAGCCGACCUGAGAGGGUGAUCGGCCACACUGGAACUGAGACACGGUCCAGACUCCUACGGGAGGCAGCAGUAGGGAAUCUUCCGCAAUGGGCGAAAGCCUGACGGAGCAACGCCGCGUGAGUGAUGAAGGUCUUCGGAUCGUAAAACUCUGUUAUUAGGGAAGAACAUACGUGUAAGUAACUGUGCACGGCUUGACGGUACCUAAUCAGAAAGCCACGGCUAACUACGUG